GAAUAUUGGGCACUGGGCGCAAGCCUGCCCCAGCAACGCCGCGUGAGGGAAGAAGGCCUUCGGCUUGUAAACCUCUGUCCUUAGGGAAGAAGAAAGUGACGGAAGCUAAGGAUGAAGCUCCGUCUAACCACGUGCAAGCAGCCGCGGUAAGACGCAGGGAGCGAGCGUUGUCCGGAAUUACUGGGCGUAAAGGGUGCGUAGGCGGCUACGUAAGGCAGAUGUGAAAUCCCCGGGCUUAACUCGGGGGGUGCAUUUGAAACUGCGUGGCUUGAGUGCAGGAGAGGAAAGUGGAAUUCCUAGUGUAGCGGUGGAAUGCGUAGAUAUUAGGAGGAACACCAGUGGCGAAGGCGACUUUCUGGACUGUAACUGACGCUGAGGCACGAAAGCGUGGGGAGCAAACA
This 401-nucleotide ribosomal RNA is filed under the name uncultured bacterium. RNAcentral describes it as "partial 16S ribosomal RNA". It matches the Rfam family "Bacterial small subunit ribosomal RNA", at positions 359 to 774 of the family's 1533-position model. The record is from RNAcentral.